Molecule: ribosomal RNA, 372 nt
Filed under: uncultured organism
Description: partial 16S ribosomal RNA
Rfam family: Bacterial small subunit ribosomal RNA
Source: RNAcentral
GUAGGUGGCAAGCGUUGUCCGGAAUUAUUGGGCGUAAAGCGCGCGCAGGCGGUUCUUUAAGUCUGAUGUGAAAGCCCACGGCUCAACCGUGGGGGGUCAUUGGAAACUGGAGAACUUGAGUACAGAAGAGGAAAGCGGAAUUCCACGUGUAGCGGUGAAAUGCGUAGAGAUGUGGAGGAACACCAGUGGCGAAGGCGGCUUUCUGGUCUGUAACUGACGCUGAGGCGCGAAAGCGUGGGGAGCAAACAGGAUUAGAUACCCUGGUAGUCCACGCCGUAAACGAUGAGUGCUAAGUGUUAGGGGGUUUCCGCCCCCCUUAGUGCUGCAGCUAACGCAUUAAGCACUCCGCCUGGGAGUACGGCCGCAAGGCUG